CAGUAGCCGCGGUAAUACAGAGGGUGCGAGCGUUAAUCGGAUUUACUGGGCGUAAAGCGUGCGUAGGCGGCUUCUUAAGUCGGAUGUGAAAUCCCUGAGCUUAACUUAGGAAUUGCAUUAGAUACUGGGAAGCUAGAGUAUGGGAGAGGAUGGUAGAAUUCCAGGUGUAGCGGUGAAAUGCGUAGAGAUCUGGAGGAAUACCGAUGGCGAAGGCAGCCAUCUGGCCUAAUACUGACGCUGAGGUACGAAAGCAUGGGGAGCAAACAGGAUUAGAUACCCCCGUAGUCCCUGUCUCUUAUAC
Molecule: ribosomal RNA, 301 nt
Filed under: uncultured bacterium
Lineage: Bacteria
Description: partial 16S ribosomal RNA
Rfam family: Bacterial small subunit ribosomal RNA
Source: RNAcentral